RNAcentral lists this ribosomal RNA (253 nucleotides) under uncultured bacterium. RNAcentral's name for it is "partial 16S ribosomal RNA". It matches the Rfam family "Bacterial small subunit ribosomal RNA", at positions 524 to 776 of the family's 1533-position model. The record is from RNAcentral.
UACGAAGGGGGCGAGCGUUGUUCGGAAUCACUGGGCGUAAAGGGCGCGUAGGCGGCCCUUCUUGUCGCGUGUGAAAGCCCCGGGCUCAACCUGGGAAUGGCGCGCGAGACGGGGGGGCUGGAGUUCGGGAGAGGAGCGUGGAAUUCCCAGUGUAGAGGUGAAAUUCGUAGAUAUUGGGAAGAACACCGGUGGCGAAGGCGGAUCUCUGGGCCUUACCUGACGCUGAGGCGCGAAAGCUAGGGGAGCGAACAGG